AGGAAACCCAACAUACGUGGAUCUAUAAUGGGUUAUUGAUGAGUCACUGAUUUGAAUCAAUAAUACUGCUUUUUUCUGGGGAAGGACGGGCACAGACGGACUGGCGUACUUCAGAAAUCUGGAGCGAAGCCGCGCGGCUUCUCACGCAACGGAUUGAAGGAGAACUUCAAAGGGAUUAUGGGAAAUGGCGUAUGAGGACACCCAAGGACCCGGGGAGCGAGCAGAACAGGGCGGGAGACAGAGGAGGCCUGCUGCAGGAGUAGGGGUAGCAGAGCGGAGCCCAGACCACUGCCGCCUCAAUUGCUUUGAGGAAAAGGUGACCUGGCGUGACCUGAAUCAUCCCAAAGUGAGGCACAGGGAUAGGGUUGGAUGGGAAGCAUUUUUUUUUUUUGGUGCUGAAUUUUGGAAAAAAGAACAUAGGCACUGGAACUCAUUCCUGUUGAAGGUUUCCAUGAAUGGAUGCCAUGAGUGAGUACUUCAGCAUUCACACACAUGGCUGCGGCACCUGUUCUAACAAAACACUCGUGUGCCACACCAAAGCCCGACAAAUCCCAUACCACCCCUGCUGCCUCUCCGGCAUUAAAACUGUUGCAAUGCAUCCUGGGAAUGAAGAGUAUACCCUCCAAGGUUUAGAUUCCCCCUCCCCCCCCCCCC
Anguilla anguilla (European eel) is the source of this 654-nucleotide long non-coding RNA. RefSeq lists it as uncharacterized. The record is from RefSeq and is a predicted model, not a curated record. NCBI's taxonomy places the organism in Eukaryota, Metazoa, Chordata, Actinopteri, Anguilliformes, Anguillidae. The transcript is spliced from 3 exons.